RNAcentral lists this non-coding RNA (31 nucleotides) under Rattus norvegicus (Norway rat). Lineage: Eukaryota; Metazoa; Chordata; Mammalia; Rodentia; Muridae. The record is from RNAcentral.
CCAAAGCUACAAGCUUCCCUACCAAAUGUUU